GGCGAACGCUGGCGGCGUGCCUAAUACAUGCAAGUCGAACGAACCGCGACUAGGUGCUUGCACUUGGUCAAGGUGAGUGGCGAACGGGUGAGUAACACGUGGGUAACCUACCUCAUAGUGGGGGAUAACAGUCGGAAACGACUGCUAAUACCGCAUAGGACAUAGGAUCACAUGAUCCAGUGAGGAAAGGUGGCGCAAGCUAUCGCUAAGAGAUGGACCCGCGGUGCAUUAGCUAGUUGGUAGGGUAAAGGCCUACCAAGGCGAUGAUGCAUAGCCGACCUGAGAGGGUGAUCGGCCACAUUGGGACUGAGACACGGCCCAAACUCCUACGGGAGGCAGCAGUAGGGAAUCUUCCGCAAUGGACGCAAGUCUGACGGAGCAACGCCGCGUGAGUGAAGAAGGUCUUCGGAUCGUAAAGCUCUGUUGUUAGAGAAGAACAGCGCAUAGAGUAACUGUUAUGCGUGUGACGGUAUCUAACCAGAAAGCCACGGCUAACUACGUG
RNAcentral lists this ribosomal RNA (502 nucleotides) under uncultured bacterium. RNAcentral describes it as "partial 16S ribosomal RNA". It matches the Rfam family "Bacterial small subunit ribosomal RNA", at positions 28 to 507 of the family's 1533-position model. The record is from RNAcentral.